AUUGAACGCUGGCGGCAGGCUUAACACAUGCAAGUCGAGCGGUAGCACAGGGGAGCUUGCUCCCUGGGUGACGAGCGGCGGACGGGUGAGUAAUGUCUGGGAAACUGCCUGAUGGAGGGGGAUAACUACUGGAAACGGUAGCUAAUACCGCAUAACGUCGCAAGACCAAAGAGGGGGACCUUCGGGCCUCUUGCCAUCAGAUGUGCCCAGAUGGGAUUAGCUAGUAGGUGGGGUAAUGGCUCACCUAGGCGACGAUCCCUAGCUGGUCUGAGAGGAUGACCAGCCAAACCGGAACUGAGACACGGUCCAGACUCCUACGGGAGGCAGCAGUGGGGAAUAUUGCACAAUGGGCGCAAGCCUGAUGCAGCCAUGCCGCGUGUGUGAAGAAGGCCUUCGGGUUGUAAAGCACUUUCAGCGAGGAGGAAGGUGGUGAGCUUAAUACGUUCAUCAAUUGACGUUACUCGCAGAAGAAGCACCGGCUAACUCCGU
Molecule: ribosomal RNA, 489 nt
Filed under: uncultured bacterium
Lineage: Bacteria
Description: partial 16S ribosomal RNA
Rfam family: Bacterial small subunit ribosomal RNA
Source: RNAcentral